RNAcentral lists this ribosomal RNA (253 nucleotides) under uncultured bacterium. RNAcentral's name for it is "partial 16S ribosomal RNA". It matches the Rfam family "Bacterial small subunit ribosomal RNA", at positions 524 to 776 of the family's 1533-position model. The record is from RNAcentral.
UACGGGGGGGGCAAGCGUUGUUCGGAAUUACUGGGCGUAAAGGGCUCGUAGGUGGCCAACUAAGUCAGACGUGAAAUCCCUCGGCUUAACCGGGGAACUGCGUCUGAUACUGGAUGGCUUGAGUUUGGGAGAGGGAUGCGGAAUUCCAGGUGUAGCGGUGAAAUGCGCAGAUAUCAGGAAGAACACCAACGGCGAAGGCAGCUCGCUAGGACGGAACUGACGCUGAGGCGCGAAAGCGUGGGGAGCAAACAGG